Molecule: non-coding RNA, 45 nt
Filed under: Schistosoma curassoni
Lineage: Eukaryota; Metazoa; Platyhelminthes; Trematoda; Strigeidida; Schistosomatidae
Source: RNAcentral
AUCCAGCUAAUAAAUCCCAAAUAGAACGAAACGCGCGUCCUGAAU